RNAcentral lists this ribosomal RNA (1016 nucleotides) under uncultured archaeon. RNAcentral describes it as "bacterial SSU rRNA". It matches the Rfam family "Archaeal small subunit ribosomal RNA", at positions 23 to 1038 of the family's 1478-position model. The record is from RNAcentral.
GUUACUGCUAUUGGUGUUCGACUAAGCCAUGCAAGUCAUAUGUUCCUCGUGAACAUGGCAUACUGCUCAGUAACACGUGGAUAACCUGCCCUUGGGUCUGGGAUAACCCCGGGAAACUGGGGAUAAUACUGGAUAACGCAUAUGUGCUGGAAUGCUUUAUGCGUAAAACGGAUUCGUCCGCCCAAGGAUGGGUCUGCGGCCUAUCAGGUAGUAGUGGGUGUAAUGUACCUACUAGCCAACAACGGGUACGGGUUGUGAGAGCAAGAGCCCGGAGAUGGAUUCUGAGACAUGAAUCCAGGCCCUACGGGGCGCAGCAGGCGCGAAAACUUUACAAUGCGGGAAACCGUGAUAAGGGAACACCGAGUGCCAGCAUCAUAUGCUGGCUGUCCAGAUGUGUAAACUACAUCUGUUAGCAAGGGCCGGGCAAGACCGGUGCCAGCCGCCGCGGUAACACCGGCGGCCCGAGUGGUGACCGUUAUUAUUGGGUCUAAAGGGUCCGUAGCCGGUUUGGUCAGUCCUCCGGGAAAUCUGAUAGCUUAACUGUUAGGCUUUCGGGGGAUACUGCCAGGCUUGGAACCGGGAGAGGUAAGAGGUACUACAGGGGUAGGAGUGAAAUCUUGUAAUCCCUGUGAGACCACCUGUGGCGAAGGCGUCUUACCAGAACGGGUUCGACGGUGAGGGACGAAAGCUGGGGGCACGAACCGGAUUAGAUACCCGGGUAGUCCCAGCCGUAAACUAUGCUCGCUAGGUGUCAGGCGUGGCGCGACCGUGUCUGGUGCCGCAGGGAAGCCGUGAAGCGAGGCACCUGGGAAGUACGGCCGCAAGGCUGAAACUUAAAGGAAUUGGCGGGGGAGCACAACAACGGGUGGAGCCUGCGGUUUAACUGGACUCAACGCCGGACAACUCACCGGGAACGACAGCAAUAUGUAGGCCAGGCUGAAGACCUUGCCUGAAUCGCUGAGAGGAGGUGCAUGGCCGUCGCCAGUUCGUACUGUGAAGCAUCCUGUUAAGUCAGG